This 620-nucleotide ribosomal RNA is filed under the name Sarcodon imbricatus. Its description in RNAcentral is "eukaryotic LSU rRNA". It matches the Rfam family "Eukaryotic large subunit ribosomal RNA", at positions 48 to 644 of the family's 3401-position model. Lineage: Eukaryota; Fungi; Basidiomycota; Agaricomycetes; Thelephorales; Thelephoraceae. The record is from RNAcentral.
AAGCGGAGGAAAAGAAACUAACAAGGAUUCCCCUAGUAACUGCGAGUGAAGCGGGAAAAGCUCAAAUUUAAAAUCUGGCGUGCCUUUGGCCGUCCGAGUUGUAGUCUGGAGAAGUGUUUUCUGUGCUGGACCGUGUACAAGUCCCUUGGAACAGGGCGUCAUAGAGGGUGAGAAUCCCGUCUUUGACACGGACUACCAGUGCUCUGUGAUGCGCUCUCAAAGAGUCGAGUUGUUUGGGAAUGCAGCUCAAAAUGGGUGGUAAAUUCCAUCUAAAGCUAAAUAUAGGCGAGAGACCGAUAGCGAACAAGUACCGUGAGGGAAAGAUGAAAAGCACUUUGGAAAGAGAGUUAAACAGUACGUGAAAUUGCUGAAAGGGAAACGCUUGAAGUCAGUCGCGUCUGCCAGGACUCAGCCUUGCUUUUUUGCUUGGUGCACUUUCUGGUAGAUGGGCCAGCAUCAAUUUUGACCGUCAGAAAAAGUUGGAGGGAAUGUGGCACCUUUCGAGGUGUGUUAUAGCCUUUCAUCGCAUAUGACGGUUGGGAUUGAGGACCGCAGCACGCCUUUAUGGCCGGGGCUUUGCUCACGUAACGUGCUUAGGAUGCUGGCUUAAUGGCUUUAAG